GGAUUGACUUUGACGAAGACGAGUACGCAUACCACGUGCGUUCCAGAGAGUCGGCGAAUGGUGUGAGCCGAUACGCAUAGGAUGUCGAAUGGACUUCUGAGUCGCUGGCUGAACCCACAUUGUGGCAGUAUGCCUUGCCGGGCGUGCCUCUCCGUUACCAAGAGGCAGGUAUCGAGAUCAUUUUUGUUUCGUUGGUCUCCGUACUGUAAAGUGCGUCGGGCAUACCCCGGCGAAUUAGGGUGGCACCACGGUCUCACGUCCCUUGG
Molecule: non-coding RNA, 266 nt
Filed under: Ferroacidibacillus organovorans
Lineage: Bacteria; Bacillati; Bacillota; Bacilli; Caryophanales; Alicyclobacillaceae
Description: Acidibacillus ferrooxidans T-box sequence
Rfam family: T-box leader
About the family: Uncharged tRNA acts as the effector for transcription antitermination of genes in the T-box leader family. T-boxes are found upstream of many aminoacyl-tRNA synthetase genes and some amino acid biosynthetic genes usually in Gram-positive bacteria.
Source: RNAcentral